Molecule: ribosomal RNA, 519 nt
Filed under: Mesorhizobium sp.
Lineage: Bacteria; Pseudomonadati; Pseudomonadota; Alphaproteobacteria; Hyphomicrobiales; Phyllobacteriaceae
Description: bacterial SSU rRNA
Rfam family: Bacterial small subunit ribosomal RNA
Source: RNAcentral
CUCAAAUGAAUUGACGGGGGCCCGCACAAGCGGUGGAGCAUGUGGUUUAAUUCGAUGCAACGCGAAGAACCUUACCUACUCUUGACAUCCAGAGAACUUUCCAGAGAUGGAUUGGUGCCUUCGGGAACUCUGAGACAGGUGCUGCAUGGCUGUCGUCAGCUCGUGUUGUGAAAUGUUGGGUUAAGUCCCGCAACGAGCGCAACCCUUAUCCUUUGUUGCCAGCGGUUCGGCCGGGAACUCAAAGGAGACUGCCAGUGAUAAACUGGAGGAAGGUGGGGAUGACGUCAAGUCAUCAUGGCCCUUACGAGUAGGGCUACACACGUGCUACAAUGGCGUAUACAAAGAGAAGCGAACCUGCGAGGGCAAGCGGACCUCAUAAAGUACGUCGUAGUCCGGAUUGGAGUCUGCAACUCGACUCCAUGAAGUCGGAAUCGCUAGUAAUCGUAGAUCAGAAUGCUACGGUGAAUACGUUCCCGGGCCUUGUACACACCGCCCGUCACACCAUGGGAGUGGGUUGCA